RNAcentral lists this transfer RNA (72 nucleotides) under Aedes aegypti (yellow fever mosquito). It matches the Rfam family "tRNA". Rfam says of the family: Transfer RNA (tRNA) molecules are approximately 80 nucleotides in length. Their secondary structure includes four short double-helical elements and three loops (D, anti-codon, and T loops). Lineage: Eukaryota; Metazoa; Arthropoda; Insecta; Diptera; Culicidae. The record is from Rfam by way of RNAcentral.
GGCUCGGUAGCUUAGUUGGUAAAGCACUCGUCUAGCAUACAAGAGUUUUGGGUUUGAACCCCACCUGAGCAC